Molecule: ribosomal RNA, 794 nt
Filed under: Brevundimonas vesicularis
Lineage: Bacteria; Pseudomonadati; Pseudomonadota; Alphaproteobacteria; Caulobacterales; Caulobacteraceae
Description: bacterial SSU rRNA
Rfam family: Bacterial small subunit ribosomal RNA
Source: RNAcentral
UCAGAGCGAACGCUGGCGGCAGGCCUAACACAUGCAAGUCGAACGAACUCUUCGGAGUUAGUGGCGGACGGGUGAGUAACACGUGGGAACGUGCCUUUAGGUUCGGAAUAACUCAGGGAAACUUGUGCUAAUACCGAAUGUGCCCUUCGGGGGAAAGAUUUAUCGCCUUUAGAGCGGCCCGCGUCUGAUUAGCUAGUUGGUGAGGUAAUGGCUCACCAAGGCGACGAUCAGUAGCUGGUCUGAGAGGAUGAUCAGCCACAUUGGGACUGAGACACGGCCCAAACUCCUACGGGAGGCAGCAGUGGGGAAUCUUGCGCAAUGGGCGAAAGCCUGACGCAGCCAUGCCGCGUGAAUGAUGAAGGUCUUAGGAUUGUAAAAUUCUUUCACCGGGGACGAUAAUGACGGUACCCGGAGAAGAAGCCCCGGCUAACUUCGUGCCAGCAGCCGCGGUAAUACGAAGGGGGCUAGCGUUGCUCGGAAUUACUGGGCGUAAAGGGAGCGUAGGCGGACAUUUAAGUCAGGGGUGAAAUCCCGGGGCUCAACCUCGGAAUUGCCUUUGAUACUGGGUGUCUUGAGUAUGAGAGAGGUGUGUGGAACUCCGAGUGUAGAGGUGAAAUUCGUAGAUAUUCGGAAGAACACCAGUGGCGAAGGCGACACACUGGCUCAUUACUGACGCUGAGGCUCGAAAGCGUGGGGAGCAAACAGGAUUAGAUACCCUGGUAGUCCACGCCGUAAACGAUGAUUGCGUAGUUGUCGGGAUGCAUGCAUUUCGGUGACCGCAGCUAACGCAUUAA